GUUGAGGGGAAUGUUGGCUGGCUCGAGGCUUUCUCCGAGAGAAGUUCUCUCAACUUAAUAUAUAAGCCAAGAACAAAAGCAAAUCCCUAACAAAGCUUCGGACCAGGCUUCAUUCCCCUCAAA
RNAcentral lists this microRNA precursor (123 nucleotides) under Morus notabilis. RNAcentral describes it as "mir-166 microRNA precursor family". It matches the Rfam family "mir-166 microRNA precursor family". Rfam says of the family: This family represents the plant microRNA (miRNA) precursor mir-166. Animal miRNAs are transcribed as ~70nt precursors and subsequently processed by the Dicer enzyme to give a ~22nt product. The record is from Rfam by way of RNAcentral. Lineage: Eukaryota; Viridiplantae; Streptophyta; Magnoliopsida; Rosales; Moraceae.